UUGGUAAGGUAACGGCUUACCAAGGCGACGAUGUUUAGGGGACCUGAGAGGGUUGUCCCCCACACUGGUACUGAGACACGGACCAGACUCCUACGGGAGGCAGCAGUGAGGAAUAUUGGUCAGUGGGCGCAAGCCUGAACCAGCCAUCCCGCGUGAAGGAAGAAUGCGCUACGCGUUGUAAACUUCUUUUCCAGGGGGAGAAUAAUCCUGUCGUGACAGGACUUGACGGUACUCUGGGAAUAAGCAUCGGCUAACUCCGUGCCAGCAGCCGCGGUAAUACGGAGGAUGCGAGCGUUAUCCGGAUUUAUUGGGUUUAAAGGGUGCGUAGGCGGAUUGAUAAGUCAGUGGUGUAAUUCUACAGCUUAACUGUAGACUUGCCGUUGAUACUGUUAGUCUUGAGUGUGGUCAAGGCAGGCGGAAUGUGUAAUGUAGCGGUGAAAUGCUUAGAUAUUACACAGAACACCGAUUGCGAAGGCAGCUUGCUGGGUCAUUACUGACGCUGAUGCACGAAAGCGUGGGGAUCAAACAGGAUUAGAUACCCUGGUAGUCCACGCCGUAAACUAUGAUCACUCGCUGUUGGCGAUACACAGUCAGCGGCUAAGCAAAAGC
This 609-nucleotide ribosomal RNA is filed under the name uncultured bacterium. RNAcentral describes it as "bacterial SSU rRNA". It matches the Rfam family "Bacterial small subunit ribosomal RNA", at positions 249 to 858 of the family's 1533-position model. The record is from RNAcentral.